RNAcentral lists this ribosomal RNA (381 nucleotides) under uncultured Staurastrum. RNAcentral describes it as "SSU rRNA". It matches the Rfam family "Eukaryotic small subunit ribosomal RNA", at positions 585 to 972 of the family's 1831-position model. Lineage: Eukaryota; Viridiplantae; Streptophyta; Zygnematophyceae; Desmidiales; Desmidiaceae. The record is from RNAcentral.
CCAGCUCCAAUAGCGUAUAUUUAAGUUGUUGCAGUUAAAAAGCUCGUAGUUGGAUUUUGGGUUGGAGGAUUCGGUCUGCCUACCGGUUGAUACUGUCUCCUCCAUCCUUCUUGCCGGGGACGCGUCCUGGACUUCACUGGCUGGGGCGCGGAGUCGGCGAUGUUACUUUGAAAAAAUUAGAGUGUUCAAAGCAGGCCUAUGCUCUGAAUACAUUAGCAUGGAAUAACGCGAUAGGACUCUGGUCCUAUUGUGUUGGUCUUCGGGACCGGAGUAAUGAUUAAUAGGGACAGUUGGGGGCAUUCGUAUUUCAUUGUCAGAGGUGAAAUUCUUGGAUUUAUGAAAGACGAACUACUGCGAAAGCAUUUGCCAAGGAUGUUUUCA